This 328-nucleotide long non-coding RNA is filed under the name Olea europaea (common olive). Its description in RNAcentral is "long non-coding RNA (OEUR_LNC013798)". Lineage: Eukaryota; Viridiplantae; Streptophyta; Magnoliopsida; Lamiales; Oleaceae. The record is from RNAcentral.
GUGAAGAUACGGAGAUUAUAUGAAACUGUUCCAGAACCUUGGGCCUCAGUCAUAAAUGAGAUUGUCUGACGAUGAUCUUUCAUAUGAGGACGUUACAGAUUUACUUCAAGAAAGUUAUAAAACUAGCCGCGAUUUACAGCGAAACAUUAAGAAGACUAUAACCUUAUCCAUGAAUACUAGUUUACGAGCUACCAAUUCUAGGCUAGAUAAGGGACCGUUGGCUAAGUGCUUUUCGAGAGUUCUAGAUGAAAGUUUUCCCAUACCAUUACCAGAUAAUUCGGAGCAAAGCAUGUUAGAGGAAGGCCCAGAGGAAGACCCAGAUGAAGAC